RNAcentral lists this ribosomal RNA (465 nucleotides) under Vreelandella stevensii. RNAcentral describes it as "partial 16S ribosomal RNA". It matches the Rfam family "Bacterial small subunit ribosomal RNA", at positions 338 to 795 of the family's 1533-position model. The record is from RNAcentral. Lineage: Bacteria; Pseudomonadati; Pseudomonadota; Gammaproteobacteria; Oceanospirillales; Halomonadaceae.
CCUACGGGUGGCAGCAGUGGGGAAUAUUGGACAAUGGGCGAAAGCCUGAUCCAGCCAUGCCGCGUGUGUGAAGAAGGCCUUCGGGUUGUAAAGCACUUUCAGUGGGGAAGAAAGCCUUGGGGCUAAUACCCUCGAGGAAGGACAUCACCCACAGAAGAAGCACCGGCUAACUCCGUGCCAGCAGCCGCGGUAAUACGGAGGGUGCGAGCGUUAAUCGGAAUUACUGGGCGUAAAGCGCGCGUAGGCGGUCUGAUAAGCCGGUUGUGAAAGCCCCGGGCUCAACCUGGGAACGGCAUCCGGAACUGACAGGCUAGAGUGCAGGAGAGGAAGGUAGAAUUCCCGGUGUAGCGGUGAAAUGCGUAGAGAUCGGGAGGAAUACCAGUGGCGAAGGCGGCCUUCUGGACUGACACUGACGCUGAGGUGCGAAAGCGUGGGUAGCAAACAGGAUUAGAUACCCCAGUAGUC